UACGUAGGGGGCUAGCGUUGUCCGGAAUCAUUGGGCGUAAAGAGCGUGUAGGCGGUCCGGUAAGUCCGCUGUGAAAAGUCGGGGGGCUCAACCCUCGAAUGCCGGUGGAUACUGUCGGGCUAGAGUGCGGAAGAGGCGAGUGGAAUUCCUGGUGUAGCGGUGAAAUGCGCAGAUAUCAGGAGGAACACCUAUUGCGAAGGCAGCUCGCUGGGACGUAACUGACGCUGAGACGCGAAAAGCGUGGGGGAGCAAACAGG
Molecule: ribosomal RNA, 257 nt
Filed under: uncultured bacterium
Lineage: Bacteria
Description: partial 16S ribosomal RNA
Rfam family: Bacterial small subunit ribosomal RNA
Source: RNAcentral